CCUACGUGGUGCAGCAGUGAGGAAUAUUGGUCAAUGGGCGCGAGCCUGAACCAGCCAAGUAGCGUGAAGGAUGACUGCCCUACGGGUUGUAAACUUCUUUUAUAAAGGAAUAAAGUGAGGCACGUGUGCCUUUUUGUAUGUACUUUAUGAAUAAGGAUCGGCGAACUCCGUGCCAGCAGCCGCGGUAAUACGGAGGAUCCGAGCGUUAUCCGGAUUUAUUGGGUUUAAAGGGAGCGUAGAUGGGUUGUUAAGUCAGUUGUGAAAGUUUGCGGCUCAACCGUAAAAUUGCAAUUGAUACUGGCAGUCUUGAGUACAGUUGAGGUAGGCGGAAUUCGUGGUGUAGCGGUGAAAUGCUUAGAUAUCACGAAGAACUCCGAUUGCGAAGGCAGCUUACUAAACUGCCACUGACAUUGAUGCUCGAAAGUGUGGGUAUCAAACAGGAUUAGAUACCCCUGUAGUC
RNAcentral lists this ribosomal RNA (460 nucleotides) under uncultured bacterium. RNAcentral's name for it is "partial 16S ribosomal RNA". It matches the Rfam family "Bacterial small subunit ribosomal RNA", at positions 338 to 795 of the family's 1533-position model. The record is from RNAcentral.